AUUGAACGCUGGCGGCGUGCCUAACACAUGCAAGUCGAGCGGUAACAGGUGUAGCAAUACAUGCUGACGAGCGGCGGACGGGUGAGUAACGCUUGGGAAUCUGCCUAUUAGUGGGGGACAACCCGGGGAAACUCGGGCUAAUACCGCAUACGCACUACGGUGGAAAGCCGGGGACCGCAAGGCCUGGCGCUAACAGAUGAGCCCAAGUCCGAUUAGCUAGUUGGUAGGUAAUGGCCUACCAAGGCGACGAUCGGUAGCUGGUCUGAGAGGACGACCAGCCACACUGGGACUGAGACACGGCCCAGACUCCUACGGGAGGCAGCAGUGGGGAAUAUUGGACAAUGGGCGAAAGCCUGAUCCAGCGAUGCCGCGUGUGUGAAGAAGGCCUGCGGGUU
RNAcentral lists this ribosomal RNA (395 nucleotides) under uncultured bacterium. RNAcentral's name for it is "bacterial SSU rRNA". It matches the Rfam family "Bacterial small subunit ribosomal RNA", at positions 29 to 424 of the family's 1533-position model. The record is from RNAcentral.